RNAcentral lists this ribosomal RNA (777 nucleotides) under uncultured bacterium. Its description in RNAcentral is "bacterial SSU rRNA". It matches the Rfam family "Bacterial small subunit ribosomal RNA", at positions 8 to 793 of the family's 1533-position model. The record is from RNAcentral.
AGAGUUUGAUCCUGGCUCAGAUUGAACGCUGGCGGCAUGCCUUACACAUGCAAGUCGAACGCGAAAGGGCAACCCCGAGUAGAGUGGCGAACGGGUGAGCAAUACAUCGGAACACGUCCUGUAGCGGGACAACCCCGAGAAAUCGGGGCUAAUACCGCAUACGAUCCAAGGAUGAAAGUGGGGGACCGCAAGGCCUCACACUAUAGGAGUGGCCGAUGCCGGAUUAGCUAGUUGGCGGGGUAAUAGCCCACCAAGGCUACGAUCCGUAGCUGGUUUGAGAGAACGAGCCACACUGGGACUGAGACACGGCCCAGACUCCUACGGGAGGCAGGGGGAAUUUUGGACAAUGGGCGAAAGCCUGAUCCAGCCAUGCCGCGUGAGUGAAGAAGGCCUUCGGGUUGUAAAGCUCUUUCGGCGGGGACGAAAUAGCGCGGGGUAAUAUCCCGCGUCGAUGACGGUACCCGAAGAAGAAGGACCGGCUAACUACGUGCCAGCAGCCGCGGUAAUACGUAGGGUCCAAGCGUUAAUCGGAAUUACUGGGCGUAAAGCGUGCGUAGGCGGUUUCGCAAGUCCGAUGUGAAAUCCCCGGGCUUAACCUGGGAACUGCGUUGGAAACUACGAAGCUAGAGUGCGGCAGAGGGGGGUAGAAUUCCACGUGUAGCAGUGAAAUGCGUAGAUAUGUGGAGGAAUACCGAUGGCGAAGGCAGCCCCCUGGGUCGAUACUGACGCUCAUGCACGAAAGCGUGGGGGAGCAAACAGGAUUAGAUACCCUGGUAG